RNAcentral lists this ribosomal RNA (400 nucleotides) under uncultured bacterium. RNAcentral describes it as "bacterial SSU rRNA". It matches the Rfam family "Bacterial small subunit ribosomal RNA", at positions 355 to 767 of the family's 1533-position model. The record is from RNAcentral.
CCGAGAAUCUUCCGCAAUGCGCAUAUUUGCGUGACGGAGCGACGCCGCGUGAAGGAAGAAGCCCUGUGGGGUGUAAACUUCUGUCGAAUGGGAGCAAUUCAAGAGAGAGUACCAUUCUAAUAGAGGCUGCUAACUUCGUGCCAGCAGCAGCGGUAAUACGAAGGCCUCAAGCGUUAUCCGGAUUUAUUGGGCGUAAAGCGUCUGCAGGUUGAAUAAAAGGUCUUUACUUAAAUUCUCGGGCUCAACCCGAGGUCUGGUAUUGAAACCAUUAUUCUAGAGCAUGUUAGAGGUAAGCGGAACUCAUGGUGUAGCAGUGAAAUGCGUUGAUAUCAUGGGGAACACCAAAGGCGAAGGCAGCUUACUGGGACAUUGCUGACACUCAGAGACGAAAGUGUAGGUA